CAGUAGCCGCGGUAAUACGGAGGGUGCAAGCGUUAAUCGGAAUUACUGGGCGUAAAGCGCACGCAGGCGGUUUGUUAAGUCAGAUGUGAAAUCCCCGAGCUUAACUUGGGAACUGCAUUUGAAACUGGCAAGCUAGAGUCUUGUAGGGGGGGGUAGAAUUCCAGGUGUAGCGGUGAAAUGCGUAGAGAUCUGGAGGAAUACCGGUGGCGAAGGCGGCCCCCUGGACAAAGACUGACGCUCAGGUGCGAAAGCGUGGGGAGCAAACAGGAUUAGAUACCCGCGUAGUCCCUGUCUCUUAUAC
This 301-nucleotide ribosomal RNA is filed under the name uncultured bacterium. RNAcentral's name for it is "partial 16S ribosomal RNA". It matches the Rfam family "Bacterial small subunit ribosomal RNA", at positions 509 to 807 of the family's 1533-position model. The record is from RNAcentral.